CAAAACGCUCGCACCCCUCGCACCUCUCGCUCAUAGCCUUCGUUCUCUCCUCCCAGCUAGGGUUCCCUCCGCUGCCGCCGCCAUCCUCACCGGCGCUCGUGCUUCAUCUCCGAUCCCGAGCUCCACCUAUCAUCCAGCGUCAUCUACCCCAACCUUCUCGAUUUGAAUCUCAGGAUCUCUCUGUCUUGUGGGGCCAGGCCUCCCGUCCGCAACACGACGCCGCCGGCAUAGAGGCCCGGGCUCGGGCAGCAGCCACGGUGUCGGGAGGUGCGCCAACGAGGUCUCUGGGGACGUGGUUCACGGGCGACGAUGGCAUCAGGCAUAAGGUCGACCCGGCGCAAGAGAGGAUCGCACGGUGGCGACGGGAUGCGCGACGCGCCAGUGAUCGAAGGAGACCUCCGGCGGCCUGGACGGGAAGUGCGACCGGUUGGCGAGCGUGGCACCGAGGUCAGAGGAGAAGCAGUCCCUGGCGACCUCCGCCGAGGUGACGACAACGACGGGGAACGAGUCCAGGAGGAGGGAGAAGACUAGGUCGUGGCGUGCGAGUGUGAAGCAAGAGCCACGAGCCCACGACGGCUCCAUCAUCAGGGACCAUGAACAGCUUGGGAAUAAGGAGGAUGUGACCUGUGAUUGUCAUGGACCUGGAGGUGACACUGAUAAGGAAGGUGAGUUUACUACUGAUCUGGAGUAGUAUUACUAGAUUGCAAAUCAUGGGUUUAGUAGUUACUGCAGAAAUAUUGGGUAGUUGGUUCAGUUCACCUUUUAUAUUUAUAUGGUCCUAACGAUAAUAGUGCUUUUCAGCAAAAUUCAGUCUAUGAAGUAAAUGCGGAAAAGCUUCUUUUCUACUGAUAAUAACUGUUGAGUAUUCAUCUGACAUAGCAAAUGCUUGGUCCAGCUGGAGAUAUAUAGAUUACAUGGUUCUAUUUCACCAUAAUAUAUUUCUGACAUGAUCGUUCCUUACUGUUUCCUGAAGAAAACUAAUGAUCAAACUGCAGAAGAAACAUUAUUCAGAUAGGAGUUAAUAAGCAGUUUGUAGUCUUAAAAUUUCCUUCUCUUUUUCGUAAAAAUAAAAUUUUUCGUUAAAAUUUACUUCUAAAAUUUACAAUAGGAGUACGCAAUGAGUUUGAACAAAUGAAUGCAAAACCUACCAGAUUUGCAAUGCCGUUGUUUCUUGAAAUCUUCCUCAUUUGUAUGAUGUGUAUUCCUUAGUUGGCUGCUAUUUUAACGCUUACUCUCCUAUUAUUUUGAGGAAACUUCACGAGGAAGAGGAUUACUACAAGUUUUUGUUUCAAAUAGGAAAUGAACGAAACAGGUUUUUUCUAACCUCUCAUGUAGUCUAUAUGUACCUACGUAUUUCAUAAAGAACAUGAGAUACGGAUGAGAGGAUAUGAGGACGGUCCCCUCACUCACCUUCACUUGCUCAUAUGCCACCUCUGGUUAGAGUUGGGAGCACUGCCGAGUCGUUGAGCAGUCCUCCUCUGUCUUAUUUGAUCAGCUGGCUGAGAUCGACCGUGCUCGCCGUCGGCUUCACUGCCUCCUCUAUCCUGGACUGCAGCGUCAAGGCACUAUGGUGCUUGUUUAGGCCGUCCACGAGGCCAGGACCCAGGAUCUGCUGGUUUUCCCUACAAUCGUGCCCACCAUAUGUUUACUGAAAUGCUUCCUUGCAGAGAUAGUUGGAACUUUUUCUGAACUGACCCAUUAAUUGUUCCUUGGUCUGUAUAUUCAGACUUGGAUCACCGGAUUAUUCAAUACUUUUUGUGCUGCAGAACUACAGAAGUACUACUUGAUCAUUGCAGUGUCCUGUUCUGUGUAUACCAAUAUCUCUAAACAGGAGUUUCCAGUAUCUCUGCAAUUUCCUAGUUGGACAGGAUGUUGCCAAAUACAGUAGAAAUCAGGGGUGCGACAUUUUUAAGAAGCCACUUUUUGUCAAAAUAUGCAAGCUAUAUGAUGGGUACAUGGCGGUGUUACUGAAUGAAAGGAGGUUAUGCCACAAAUCACAUCUCUAUCAAUCCAUUUGCAUCCAUUAUACCAUUCUCACAUCUCAGCUUAGGCUCACUUAUGGUUAGAUAAACUACUGUUCAAACAGAGAUCUCGCAAUCGUGUUAUACUGUUGUUGAGGGCUAUCCUGUGUCUGAUGAGAGAAUUUAAUGGACUAAUGGAUGGCCACAAUGUGGACGAUAUAAUAAUCCUUGGUAUCCUACGAACAUCCUUACAAGGAUAUCAUGUGCAGACUUUUCUUUGCUUCCGUUCAAGAUGUAUAUGUUCCUCAAGGUACAGACUUACAUGCAUUUUCUGUGUGAGAUGGGCAUUCAUUUGUUCUCUCUUGCAAAAUUAGUUCACACUAAACGAAAAUCGUAUCUCUUCUGAAUAUGUUUAAAAAAACUAUAGCUCUCAUGUGCGAGAGGCUUGGUUUGUACACGUAUCAUACAAGGUUAAUACUGCCAAUUAUGUGCUGUACAAAUAUCUCUUUUAGGUUUUACAACCACUCACUUGAGUAUGAUGUUCUCCAAUUGCUUAAUGAACCUUCUGGUGAAGCAAUAGAGCUAUUGCUUCAUGAUGUAGUUUCUGUGAUAACUGAUAUUUUUCAUGGGAGUUUUCCAUGAUUUUCAGUCAUUGCUUGUGCUGCUUAUGAAGCUACAGUUUUCUGCAUAAAUAUGAUACCUUUGUUUUAAUAGGAAUAUUCACAUCGAUGUAGUUUCCGUGUUAACUGAUAUUUUUCUUGGGAGUUCACGAUGAUUUUUUUCUUGGGAGUUCUCCAUGAUCUCAGUCGUUGCUUGUGCUGCGUAUGAAGCUACAGGUUUCUUGCAUAGAUAUGAUACCUUUGCUUUAAUAGGAAUAUCCACAUCAAUGUGGUCACGUAUUAAAGAGAAAAGAAUAAGUGAUGUAUGAAUGAUGCUCAACUAUAACUAAUCUACCAUAUCACAUCCACCUUCCGCCGUACCAUGUUUCAUCAUUGUUUUCAUUGCUUCAAUGUUUACACUCAAAUCAUACUUCAUAAGCACAUUCAAAUCAUGUGCUUAUGAUACAUUCUUAUUUUUGCAAUACACCAAUGUAGCGGCUUGCUUCUGUUUCACUUGCAUCAUGACAAUAACUUCAUAGCAACUAACAUCCUUUUUUUGAACACAUCAUCACGCUGGAACGAACAGGAGCAACCAGCGUACAUCAUCUGUGGUGAGAACAAAUUAAACUGAUCUGUGCUGCUCUAAUGCAGUUGCAUACUUAUAAUCACAACUAAGCAUACUAUGUGAAUGCAAGAAAACACUAGGUGGCCUUUGUGCAGAUGCUUUAUGGGUACUAUUUAGAUACUAUUAUCAUUGAGAUUAGCUAGCUAACAUGCAAGGAUGUUAGAAAAGAAAAGGUAUAAGGAAUAUGACAUAAGUAAGGAGAAGAGCAAGACAAUCAUGUUAACCAUUGACCAUUGAAAGAAACAUAUUUGUAACAUUUUCCUUAUAACAUGUCUCUUUCAUAGCAACAAUAUAGCCUGUCAUGGAUCAGUCAUCACCAGAGGUACCUCUAUGUAUAAUUUUGCGCCACAAUCUACUCGAAAAUUCAUGUCUUGGGUGGAGUACUCCUGAAGGAUAGAGCAUGCCCUGCUUAUAUGUAUAGAAAGAAACAUAUAUGCUUUCAGUAUGGGGUAGCUAUCUAGCUUAGUAGAAUCCAGCAAGGUGAAGCAAAAAGUAAAGAAACUAAACUUUUGUGUUCUUUAACUUGUACGGGGUAUUAUUUAGGAGACAAAAAAAUUACGUCAAUGCUGUCAUAGCAGAUAAGUUCAUAGGAACAUAAAAAAUCCUCAAAAUAUCUUAAGUCUGCAAGACAGAUUGAGAAUGCAUAUAACUGAACAUUUACUAUGAUUUUGAAAAAAAUGCAACAUCCAUAUCCUAUAUGUCAUCUGCAGCAUUUUAGUUUCUGUUCUGCAAAGCAUGUGAUGUAUCUGUUACUAUUUUGUGAAAGUUUUCUGUGGCAAAGAGGAAUAGAAUGGAAGUCUAUGCAGCCUAAUUAGAUAACUAGCUUCUACUUCCUGAAUCCUUCAUGUUCAUGAUGAUCUGUGAUUUCUUGUAGUUGCUUCAUUGAUAGUCAAAGUUGCUUCUACAGGUCGAUUCUUGGAAUUUGAGUACGUGUACAAGUCUAGGCCACAAAUUUAAAAAUCAAAUGCAAGGAGAACAAUUUAUUUUCCAUCUCCAAGCAGUUGUGUCGCAGCCUCGUGAGGUCCCUUUCUUCAUCCAAAUUGAAGCACUUUAUGUUAGCUUAUCUUCGCUUUUGAAUUCAUAGUAAUGCAUCGCCUCACCCGUUUACUCUCCAUGGGAGAGUCGUAUGGAUCCUCAUUAGAUGUACUACUGCCUAUGAUGAUUCUAAACCUAUGAUGGUUCUAAGCUCAAAUAAUAGAGUACUUGUAUGUUUGAUCGAUGUGCUACUAAUAGAUCCUAAUGUUAUAGCAUAUGCCCAUAUUAAUGACUGAGGAUAAAACAUGGCGCCUGAAUAUGCAAAAAACAAAAUAAGUGCGCACAGGCCUGCUUAGGUGGCGCUACCAGGUGGCGCCCCAACCUAUAGUAAAGAAGGCAAAAAUAGGAAGGAGCGAGACGCGAAACACACAGGCACACAGCCCCGUGGAACCAGUUUCGUUUCCAUUUUCCAAGCAUUUGGCCAUCAGCGGAGAUGGGCCAGCAAUGGAGACGGCGUCGGAGCGUUCAACACGGACGCACUGGAGGGCGUGCGCGCCAUCCUGCUGAAACCGUCCGAGUCCCUCGACGAGUCCACCAGGAUCGCCGGCCCCGACUUCAACGACGCCGGCCUCGGCCUUGCCGGGAUGCUCGGGUCGCUCGCCUCCACGGGUUUCCAGGCGUCCCACCUCGGCGACGCCAUCGACGUCGUCAAUCAGAUGCUGGAUUGGAGGCUUCCGCGCGAGAAGCCAAGCGAGGACUGUGAUGAAGCUGAACUUGACCCAAAGUACAGGGAAUCUGUAAAGUGC
Long non-coding RNA from Triticum aestivum (bread wheat), 4966 nucleotides. RefSeq lists it as uncharacterized. Lineage: Eukaryota; Viridiplantae; Streptophyta; Magnoliopsida; Poales; Poaceae. The transcript is spliced from 5 exons. The record is from RefSeq and is a predicted model, not a curated record.